This 555-nucleotide ribosomal RNA is filed under the name Botryosphaeria dothidea. RNAcentral's name for it is "eukaryotic LSU rRNA". The stretch from base 181 to 334 matches the Rfam family "5.8S ribosomal RNA". The record is from RNAcentral. Lineage: Eukaryota; Fungi; Ascomycota; Dothideomycetes; Botryosphaeriales; Botryosphaeriaceae.
UUUGCGACUGAUCGGGCUCGGCCCGAUCCUCCCACCCUUUGUGUACCUACCUCUGUUGCUUUGGCGGGCCGCGGUCCUCCGCGGCCGCCCCCCUCCCCGGGGGGGUGGCCAGCGCCCGCCAGAGGACCAUCAAACUCCAGUCAGUAAACGAUGCAGUCUGAAAAACAUUUAAUAAACUAAAACUUUCAACAACGGAUCUCUUGGUUCUGGCAUCGAUGAAGAACGCAGCGAAAUGCGAUAAGUAAUGUGAAUUGCAGAAUUCAGUGAAUCAUCGAAUCUUUGAACGCACAUUGCGCCCUUUGGUAUUCCGAAGGGCAUGCCUGUUCGAGCGUCAUUACAACCCUCAAGCUCUGCUUGGUAUUGGGCACCGUCCUUUGCGGGCGCGCCUCAAAGACCUCGGCGGUGGCGUCUUGCCUCAAGCGUAGUAGAACAUACAUCUCGCUUCGGAGCGCAGGGCGUCGCCCGCCGGACGAACCUUCUGAACUUUUCUCAAGGUUGACCUCGGAUCAGGUAGGGAUACCCGCUGAACUUAAGCAUAUCAUAAGCCCGGAGGAA